ACCCGCUGAACUUAAGCAUAUCAAUAAGCGGAGGAAAAGAAACCAACAGGGAUUGCCCUAGUAACGGCGAGUGAAGCGGCAACAGCUCAAAUUUGAAAUCUGGCUUCGGCCCGAGUUGUAAUUUGUAGAGGAAGCUUUAGGCGCGGCACCUUCUGAGUCCCCUGGAACGGGGCGCCAAAGAGGGUGAGAGCCCCGUAUAGUUGGAUGCCUAGCCUGUGUAAAGCUCCUUCGACGAGUCGAGUAGUUUGGGAAUGCUGCUCAAAAUGGGAGGUAAAUUUCUUCUAAAGCUAAAUACCGGCCAGAGACCGAUAGCGCACAAGUAGAGUGAUCGAAAGAUGAAAAGCACUUUGAAAAGAGGGUUAAAUAGCACGUGAAAUUGUUGAAAGGGAAGCGCUUGUGACCAGACUUGCGCCAGGCUGAUCAUCCGGUGUUCUCACCGGUGCACUCUGCCCGGCGCAGGCCAGCAUCGGUUCUCGCGGGGGGAUAAAGGCUCCGGGAACGUAGCUCCUCCGGGAGUGUUAUAGCCCGGGGCGUAAUGCCCUCGCGGGGACCGAGGACCGCGCAUCUUGCAAGGAUGCUGGCGUAAUGGUCACCAGCGACCCGUCUUGAAACACGG
Molecule: ribosomal RNA, 616 nt
Filed under: uncultured fungus
Lineage: Eukaryota; Fungi
Description: LSU rRNA
Rfam family: Eukaryotic large subunit ribosomal RNA
Source: RNAcentral